GUAGAGGGCAUGAAGGAGUCAGAGAAAGAAGGGUGGUAUGCGUACUGGAGGCAAGUGUGGGAUACUAACUUUGUGUGAUGGAUCUGUUAACUCACAGAGCUGAGCGUGCGGGAGGACAGUGUAAGGUGGGCAGUUUGACUGGGGCGGUCGCCGCCUAAAGGGUAACGGAGGCGCCCAAAGGUUCCAUCAGAAUGGUUGGAAAUCAUUCGCAGAGUGUAAAGGUAUAAGGGAGCUUGACUGCGAGAGCUACAACUCGAGCAGGGACGAAAGUCGGGCUUAGUGAUCUGGUGGUACUGCAUGGACAGGACAUCACUAAACGGAGAAAAGCAACCCUGGGGAUAACAGGCUUAUCUCCCCCAAGAGUGCACAUCGCCGGGGAGGUUAGGCACUCCGACUGAGGCUGGUCGCAUCAUGGGGCCGACGUCCGGCCCACGGGUAGGGCAGUCCGUCACUU
RNAcentral lists this ribosomal RNA (454 nucleotides) under Lactobacillus johnsonii. Its description in RNAcentral is "bacterial LSU rRNA". It matches the Rfam family "Bacterial large subunit ribosomal RNA", at positions 2136 to 2589 of the family's 2925-position model. Lineage: Bacteria; Bacillati; Bacillota; Bacilli; Lactobacillales; Lactobacillaceae. The record is from RNAcentral.